UUGGUUGUUUACCCAUAUUCAGGGGCAUC
RNAcentral lists this non-coding RNA (29 nucleotides) under Mus musculus (house mouse). The record is from RNAcentral. Lineage: Eukaryota; Metazoa; Chordata; Mammalia; Rodentia; Muridae.